CACAAGUGUCGGCGGCGCACAGUGCGCAACUAUUGUCAACGGCCUCGGCGAUGGACAAAUGGCGUGUUUAACGACGGUUAGCCGCGCGCACUUCGCGAAUAUAUCGCUAUAAAUAUACCUGUUCUCGCCGCAAUUGUCUACCCUUUGUGCUUGCUUCGCUUUUGUUUCUUUUUUCCUUCCCUUUGUUUUCGGUGGCGCAAUCGCUUCGCGGUACCGGGGGUGAAAACUCGCGCAACGUAUUCCAUUCUGUGCAAAUGAGAGAAACAGGCGGAUCGAUGAAUUUUCAUGAAAAGUUAUCGCGUCGCGAUCGUAAGGUCCGAUUUCACCGGGAGCCCAGUUGGCCGCUGCCGGUCGCAAGCGUCGCAGUGCCUCAGAGUUUUUCAGGGUAAAAACCGACUCGUCCGAUAUAAACGAGAGAGAUACGAGAUGUCGCAAAAAUACUCGGCGGAGGAAGUCUCGCGGCACAACAACGCCGACGACCUGUGGAUAGCGAUUCACGGCAAGGUCUUCGACGUCACCAAGUUCCUCAAGGAACAUCCCGGCGGUGAGGAGGUGCUGCUGAGUCUAGCCGGGGGAGACGCCACCAAGUGCUUCGACGACAUCGGUCACUCGCAGGAAGCCAUACAGCUGAAGGACACUUUCGAGAUCGGCACACUCCAGGGCGAGCUGACCUCACCGGUCGCGGCAGCGAGUACCGGUCCGACGGUGGACGACGACGACUGGGUGUACGAGGAGCCGAAGAAGGAGGCCAACCCCUACAUCCCCGUCUUCAUCGGGCUGGCCGUCGUCGUCUACGCUGUUCUGUUCUACUACAUCUUCUAGUGACUCUAAUAACCAUACCCAUCGACUAGUGAAGUGUUGCAAAGUGCUCGAAUGUAUGUGCGUGUUGUGUAUCUAGAAUAACUACGUGUAAGCCCGCAGUUUAUCGAAUUUCCGCGUGGAAUGCUGUACGUCUCCGGGUUUGUUGAUUUAAUAAACGUCGUUCACCACCGAAUCAUCUCUGUUUAUAAAUAGUUCUCUCCUGCCCGAAACUAUCAUCAUCGAAGCAAUCACGCGUCGAUUCGAACAUCUCAUUAGCGACCGAUCGUGGCAGCUACCAAACGCGAUGAUUUUCAAAAUUUUUUAAUGUAUAUUUAUUUCUCGUGCGGCGUAGCAAAGGCGCAGUAGUCGCUAUCGCGUCAUCGUGACUCGGCAAGUCGGGGGGGACGCCACCGGUUCUAUAUCUCUCCUUAUCGCCGUGCGAGCGUCUAUAUAGGUAUACAUCUCCGCGUUGUAAACACGCGAGUGCAUCGCUAGCUGGAAAAUUAUUUUUCGAGAAAAGCGCGCCAAUUCGAGAGGACUGAUACAAUGUAAUGCACGCAGAGCAACAGGUGCGCCUGACGCGAUUUAUUUUUUAAAUUCAAUGAAAAUUGCAAUAAGCUCGUUGUUAUUCGCGCGAGCUUCGCGGGCCGAAGGUGAAAAUCCGCACACGCGCGGAAUAUGAAUAUUUUUGGAGUGUCGAGUAGUCGUUUCAUGAAAUCUCCUCCGCAUACCGGGUCGCGAUUACACGGUCGGUCAUCAAUUCGCUAUUACGGCGCGAAAACAAGAUUAUCUUCGAAAAAAAUCGCGAUACGUCGAAGUGACAGCUGCAUGUGUUGUCAAUCGGUGCGGAUCUCACCGCAGUCCCGAAAACAGAGCGAGCUGUGUGCAAUAUCGACGCGAGAUUAAUCGCGCGAAUCUACAGCGAAUUUACGAUAAGCGCGGAGGAUUGUUAUACCGAGAUAGCGACGGUAAUCGAUGCUAUACACUUAUACACGUGCGCCGCAUCUAAAACUGCCGCAUCACAACUAGACAGCUGUGAUGAUGUUCACGUUUUGUUUUCGUGCUUAUCAUAAAAAAACUACAUAAUCAUCGCGGCCAUUCAUUCGCGAAUAUUCGAAGCCAACACAACAACCGGUCACUCGAUAAGCCGUAUCAGCGCAUUUAUUGAAAUGCACACAUCUCGCGACUUAUCUAAUGCGGCUCAUGCAUUCGCGCAGCAGGAAAACAUGCUAAUGCCGGAGCCUCUGAAUAAUCAACAUUAGGCGAGCGACGCGAGUCUCUCGAAAAAUCAUCUCACGGAGGAUGAGAUAUGCUCCGAUAAUCGUCGCACUCCUAUACAUCGCCGCCUCCAUGUGUGUGUGUGUGUGUAGAGACGAAUAACGAGAGCGGGGAUGAGAGAGAAUAGUGGGGAGGAGCAGAGCCGAGCGCAAAGACAAGUCCCACCAAGCCGGACAGCGUCAGUCUGCUCGCGAAUGCGGCUUCGCGGUGAAGAGGCUUGCGCGUUGGCUCGUAUUUACCGUCCGACUAUUGCUAUCGAGGCGUCUCUUGGAGUUUCAGCUGGUUAAGUAAAAGGAAAAAUGCCGGAGAUGAAGCAGUACACGUUCGAGGAGGUGCAGAAGGCCAGCGACCAGACUCGCACCGUCAUAGUGAUCCACGACAAAGUCUACGACGUCACGCCCUUCCUGAACGAACAUCCAGGAGGCGAGGAGAUCCUUCUGGACCACGGUGGCAAGGACGCCAGCGAGGACUUCAACGACGUCGGCCACUCGACCGACGCCCUCGAGAUGAUGACCAAGUACCAGGUCGGCGAGAUCGUCGAGGCUGAGAGGCGAAACCCGCCCAAGAAGGACGGCUGGAAAGCCGGCUACAACAGCAAGAACCCCGAGAACGAGAAGUACGUGAGCGGGCCGGGUAUGCCUUUUGGUCUGCUGGUCGGUGGUGUCGUACUCGGUGCUCUCGCCAUCUUCUACCUCUUCCUGUGAGGCUUCUCUCAUAUACAAAGUUUUUGAGGACGUUGUGCGGUGUUUUUGAGGUUAGGUGUUGCGGGUAUACCUAACUUCGAGCGGUAUGGAUUCGUUUCGCGAGGAUUAUUUAUAUAUAGAUAACGUUAUCUUAUUAUAUAUGUAUAGAGAGAAAUUUUGUAAAUUUUUUACUGCAGUGUUUGUGUAAAGCCUUACGUGCAUUUCGAAGAUCCAUGAUUCCGUUGUUGUUUUUCUAUGAGUAUACAAGUAAUCGACACAGUGUUAUGAGCUUUGAUGCGUUAAGCGGUGGUUCGAGAGGUUGUUGUUUUUCAUUGCGACACGAAGGAAAGUAUACUUAUAUAUUAUUGCAACGUUACAAUGUUUCAUAUUCGGCUGGUGUUUUAAUCCGACUGGGUGCAUUUUUCUUCGAUAUUCUUAGAUUGAUUGUAAAAUAAAAAAAAACGUCGUUUGCCGAUUUGACGACGAGUUGUAAAAAUUUUUAACGCAUUCCACAAUAUAAUUAUAUAAUAUAGAAAA
RNA transcript from Nasonia vitripennis (jewel wasp), 3299 nucleotides. It is a transcript of the gene named cytochrome b5, with no coding region annotated. The transcript has 5 exons. NCBI's taxonomy places the organism in Eukaryota, Metazoa, Arthropoda, Insecta, Hymenoptera, Pteromalidae. The record is from RefSeq and is a predicted model, not a curated record.